RNAcentral lists this long non-coding RNA (935 nucleotides) under Struthio camelus australis. RNAcentral's name for it is "lncRNA (ENSSCUG00000002597.1)". The record is from RNAcentral. Lineage: Eukaryota; Metazoa; Chordata; Aves; Struthioniformes; Struthionidae.
AAAUAGAUAAUGGAUGAAACCAUCGUCUGAUGAAUAUUGUCCAUAAGAUUAUCACAAGCAACUGAGUUGAAUUAAAAUGAUGUUUAUACAUGAGGAGAUUUUCAUUUCAGAAUGUAGUCUGUACAAUAAGAAGAAUCUGUGGAUUAAAUGCUGAGAUUCAGAGACAAGAAAGCACAACACAAAGUGUUGCAAGUUCAUGGGCCUUUGCCUCUGAGUUAGUUGCUGUGUAUAAAAACAGAAAUCACACUGAUUCUGCCCAGAAUUGCUGUAUUCUCUCUGCUUGCUUCAUUUGGAGGCACUGCAAUUAUGUCUAAGAGGAUCUAUUUCCGCACCAUAUAAUUUAAUUACCUUUUCCCAUAGGCCAACGUAUGAGAUGCGACAUCCAGUUGCUAAAAUGGUGACCUUUAGCUUCCAUGGACCAGUGAGGGAUACACGUGACUAGCAUGUGAUUAAUUUGGUCUUCUGGUCUGAGCACUGGUUUCUCUGGAUCCUGGUAGGAAGCACAAGAAGAAAGCGUGUCCAUUGUUCUUCAUGACAAAUACUGAAGAUCUUUCCUAGGAUUGUUGGAAUUACAUUAAACACAAGAUUUAAAAGAAAAAGAGAAAUGGCUGCUUUAAAUGACACCAUGGCUGCAGUUAACAGAAUUGGGUAGGCAUGGACUUCAAUGGAAAGCUGUACCUCUGAAGGAAAUAUCCUUCUUUCUUCAGGCCAUUGCCAUGACAUUUCAGAUCAACUUCAUUUACUUAUCACAAAAGGAUCUCAGUGGGAUUUUCUGUUUCCCUCUUACUGCCUCCACUAAAGGAGAACGUCUGUGCAAUUCUGUGAGUUUGUCUCCCAACCCUCAAGACUGUUAUGAGUCAACUAAGAGAAUUAAACACGGUUUAUCACAAGAAUCUUCUUCGCUCCCCCUCCCCCCACUACUUAUUUUACUGUGA